This 72-nucleotide transfer RNA is filed under the name Camelus bactrianus (Bactrian camel). It matches the Rfam family "tRNA". From Rfam's summary of the family: Transfer RNA (tRNA) molecules are approximately 80 nucleotides in length. Their secondary structure includes four short double-helical elements and three loops (D, anti-codon, and T loops). RNAcentral also lists the same sequence under 2 other names. The record is from Rfam by way of RNAcentral. Lineage: Eukaryota; Metazoa; Chordata; Mammalia; Artiodactyla; Camelidae.
GAGGGUAUAGUUCAGUAGUAGAGCAUAUGCUUAGUAUGUAGCAGGUCCUGGGUUCAAUCCCCAGGACCUCCA